UUUUCGUCCUUCCCAGCCGCAUCGUCCAGUACGUGUGACGGGCUCAUCGGCUUUCGCCCCGCCUUGUUUCACUCCACCUCCGAAGUCCCAACCUUAGGGGAAAAAGGAUGGGAUAGAUUCCCGGGGGCGGUAAGGGCAACGGCAGCGGCAACGAAGACCUGUUUCAAGAAGAACCGGAGUCACCUUGGGGGCAACGGUGGUGCCAGAAAUAUGCGUCAUCACCGAAUAUUCC
RNAcentral lists this long non-coding RNA (232 nucleotides) under Elaeis guineensis (African oil palm). RNAcentral describes it as "long non-coding RNA (EGUI_LNC074558)". Lineage: Eukaryota; Viridiplantae; Streptophyta; Magnoliopsida; Arecales; Arecaceae. The record is from RNAcentral.